GUUGCCGACAGGCGCGCUCGGCUUGCUCGGCCCGUUAGCCAGUGGUCUCCGUGCGGUUUGUCCGCGCGGAGAUCACGCUCCCUCGCCGUCCGGACGGACAUGUAAGUGCUCCGAGUAGGUGUGAGAGCCGUGUAGGUGGCUCUCUCGCUUAGGCGGAGGUCGAGGAAGCGGGGUCGCUGACGUCCCCAGUCUGACGCCGGGCGGCUGAUCUCCUCCGACUGAACGCGAGAGAAGCAUGCCACGUAAGUGGCGAUGUUGUUUUUACUUGCACUGAGCAUGUAGCUUAAGCCACGGCUGAUCGGAAUUACGAGAGAGAAGCCAGACCGGAGUUGUCGAGCGAGUAUUAAUAACGCGAGAACGGUUAGAUGUUGUAACGCACUAUGGGAAAGAUCAAUGACGUGUUAGGAAUAACGCCAAGGCGACCCGAGAUCAAACGUACCGAAUCACGUCAGAAUGCAAGCAAGGAAUUUGACCGUACGAAGGUAUAGGUAGAUCUAAGAAAUAGUUCAGACACUUCGCUGACGGGGUGUAGGUCGGUUGGCAGUAGCGGCUAGUGACUGCUGCAACUACGAAUAGUCGAGGCGGGAGCGAUGACCAGAUGUGCGGAUGGCGCGCAGAAUGGCAUGGAUAAGCGGACGAGAAGUGGUGUUGAAACGGAUAGUACACAUUCGGCCUAUGUCCAGAUUAUGUGAGCCUCCUCAUUCCUUUCCUUUAUUCUACUCGGCGUGUAAAGGAGCGUCGCCUAGCUGCCGUCGUCGCACCGACAGCGUAACUUAUUUCCGAAAAUCGUCAACAACCACUCACCCCUGGGGUGCUAAACCAAGGACAAUCGUCGAGAUCUCGAAUGUUCUAAAGCCCAGCACUUUUUUUUCAUGAUGUAUUGAAAAAAUACUCGAGGUUUGGCAUUUACUUAAUUAAGGGAAGGCAAAGAUUCUUGCUGAAUUGUCGACAAUAUGAGCAACAGAGGCGGAUAUUUUCGUCACCAUUGUCACUUUCAAAGUUUGUCAAUAUUAUUACCUGAACAAGACCUGAAAGGUCGCCGAAGGGAUGAGUGCGGCCUCUUUCGUUCCGCUAAUACGAAAAUAAGAAAACCGGAUGCUACUGUCAGAUAAUUUAUUACGCUAUUGAAAAAAAAGUGCAAUAAAGGAAAAUGGUGUCACAAUGGAAAUAUUUCUCUACGGACAAUUGAAACGUCACAGCCUAACAUUUUAACGCUUCAUAUAAACGAGAAUGGAAAAUUUUGGAGUUAUUGGAAAUAACUACUAAUUCAUUAUAUUUCAGAUUACAAUAGAUUUCAGUGGCAUUGUUGUGUGAAACUGUGAAAAGAGGUAAAGGCAAAAAUCAGAAUUUUCAGGUAGCGAAGAAAUAUAUUUGACAGAAAUAUAAAGUUAAAUGUGGAUAUUUGUUUAAAGUUUCAUAGUUUAAAUGCACGGUAGAUUUAAAACGCUCGAAUUAUUUAAGAAAAGUGAUUAAUGACCAAUCUGUAUAAACUUAAAUUAUUAUUUCUCAUAUAUACAGGCAUGCUUAUAGUUUAAAUAAUAAAUAUCCUGAAAUAAAUAAACUCACUAAUUUAAUUUAAUAAUAUUAGAUUAAAAGAGUCAAUUGUAUCGAGAAUUUCAUUAAAGAAAGAAUAAAUUUUUGCAAAAAAUGUAUGAAGA
Cataglyphis hispanica is the source of this 1658-nucleotide long non-coding RNA. RefSeq lists it as uncharacterized. Lineage: Eukaryota; Metazoa; Arthropoda; Insecta; Hymenoptera; Formicidae. The record is from RefSeq and is a predicted model, not a curated record. The transcript is spliced from 6 exons.